Bombyx mori (domestic silkworm) is the source of this 3574-nucleotide long non-coding RNA. RefSeq lists it as uncharacterized. The transcript has 2 exons. NCBI's taxonomy places the organism in Eukaryota, Metazoa, Arthropoda, Insecta, Lepidoptera, Bombycidae. The record is from RefSeq and is a predicted model, not a curated record.
AAAUUGAGAUAAUUAUUUAAAUCAACUCGUUCUAGUUCGAGACAAAAGUAAUUUACAUUUUAUAGUAGUUGACAUCUUAAAUAAAUAAUGAACAAAGAUAUUAUUUGGGUUAAUCGUUGUAAAAUUAAGGUUUGGAAAUUUCAAAACCCACUAUUUAAUGAAAUUGGUUUUUAGUUUGAAAUAAUUUAAAUUGAAAUAAAUAUGUGUAAAACAGGUAUCGCAGCAUAUAAAAUAAAAGUUACACUGUUCCAAAAUCUUCUGGUAUAAUAAUAAUUUAAAAAUUAAUUAACACUUUUAUUAUGCCUUCCUCAUUUUUUAACCGUCUUCGUCAUCUUCUUUGUCAUUCUGUCUGUCAUUCUCUUUUCCCUUUCUUUCCGUUUUCUCUCACUCACAUCUAAAUGCUUCGUUCCACACUCUUUUCAUACGUUCCACUGUUACCAAUCCUACAUAUCGUCUUCUCGCAUUAAAACUGUAUAAUCUCAAAACUUACUCAUUUUACAGGAGAGUGUUUUAAAGGUUUAACAUGUGAUAUUUUUAAUAUUAAUCAUCUUUGCAAUAUUUAUUUUUUACCAGUUACAUUAUCUGUCUUUUAAAGUAAGUUAUAAUUAUGUAUUAAUUUUGUUAAUAGUAGUCAAGACAUGGGUAAAUUAAAAAAAAAAAACUAAACUACGCUUUUUUGACCGUAUUUAUGAGAAAAAUACUGGUGAUAUGAAAUGAUUCCGCAUAUUAACUCAAUUUCGAAUAUUUUUAGAAAAUGCACUCUUUUAAUGCGAAAAGAUGACUUCAUUAGUACCAGCUCUCGGCUAUUAUGGAACGCCGCGGCCCGAUUGCUUCAUGUAAGAUAAAAAAAAAAGCAAAUUCACACGUAAAAUCUCCGAAAUAAACCAAGUAAUGAUAUCAAAGUCAAACCCACGGUUUGUUCGAUAGGAUCGAUCGAAAUGCGGGUCCAACUGAACAGUCCCAUUCUGAAAAUAUUCACUUCAUCUAAUUAACAAACACCAAUGCCAAUCUAUAUCCGUCGUCGAAAUCGAUGCGAUAACUUCAUUUAAUAAAAUAGAAACUAUUCUUUAUUAUUAUUAUAGGUAUUUCAAUAUUAUUUAUAUUCCUCAAUUAAUAUAGAAUCUAUUUUAUUUCACUGCUAACUUUUAUUGCUCUCAACAUAUGGAUAUAAUAUAUUUCUCUCUCUUUCAUCUAAAUAUAAACUCUGUAGUUCUUAAAUGUCUAUGGAACUAAAAUUACAGUUUGUACCAUGAUUUUGUCGUUUUUUUUUAAACUUAAGUCCCUAAUCGCGGGGAGAAAAACGAAUGAGUAACUUUCGACUUUUGUUAAAUUCCGGUAGUGUUAAUAGAAAUUGCCAAAAGAGUGCAGCUUGUAUUUAGUGAAAGUUCAAAAAGAUUUGUGAUCAGUUGGGAUAUAAUUUGAAUUGCAUAUGAAUCAUUCUUCUCUCCGCGAGCCGUCAGUUAUCAUUUCGAGCAUUUCGGAACACCAGACUAAAUGUUCACACGGUCGACCCUCCCGCCUACACCCACAGAAUAACGCGCAAGGAACAAGCUAGUAGUAGGUCAGGGAAUGAACCGAAACCGCAUUACGAUAUCUAUAGGAAUAACGUUUCUGCACGCUCAGAUACCAUCAUCUAGCAAUCGUGAUUCCGGUCAACUCCCGUUAUGUAAAAAUUAAAACUAUCCUAACUUACAUAGAAUGACGCGCCGCCCCUUUCGUUUCAAAUAUAUUUCUAUACAUUUAUGCUUAAGGAAAAGUGACUUUCAUAUAAUAUCUUUUUUUUUCUUUUUUCUUUUUACUAUUUCAUAUCUUUUUCGGACGUCACCAACAUGUUUACGGUCUCAGAGACAAAUGUACUGUAAAUUAACCUAUACGACUAAUACAACAUCCAGUUAUAGAUGAUUCGCGAAGUAAUCUAAAGUCUUCCAACUAUUAAUCCAUUACUAUGAAUCUUAUGGGGAGUGAAAACUCAUCUACUCUUUUUAAUCGAUAACCAAAAUGCGCUUCUACAGACCUUUGGGGACAUAACGUUUAAAUUUUCUUAAACGAGGUCCGUAAAAUUACGCUUAUAACUAUUUCCUAAUCACAUAAACGCGUUUUGCUGGAAGCUGGACUAAAAAGAAAAAAAUCUUGCUUACGGAAUAUGAUUUUAAAAAUUAUUUUAUAAGUGAAAGAGAUGAAUAAUUAAAUUCGAAGUUUCCUAUUUUAAAUCUAUUUCAACAUGAUUAUUUUAACAAAGCAGUAGUGACAGAUUGCGACACAUUCUUGGAAAGCAAAAUAACUAAGUCGAUGUAAUAACCGAGAUCACUUCAAUUCAAGAAAUUUGAAAAAAAAAAGAAGUUUAUUUAAUACACACAUAAUCAGUUAAUACAUCGACUCCAAAAAGCUAAAAUAACGCCACCAUAACGCAAAAAACACGAAAGAGCUUACCAUUAAAAGUUGUUCUACAAAGUCGUCGGCGUAUACGACGAAAUCAUCGAGACAGACAAAAAUGAUUUAAAACGCACUAUGUACAGUUUCAACUGAUUUUCGUAAUUAAAUGCUACAAUAUAGAUAUAUAAUCACUACACUAUAAAAAAUGUCAACCUAAAAUAAACAAAAGUCAUUUACGAUUCUUAAAUACACUUUAAACAUCAAUACAGAGGAAUUUGAUGAAAACCCUUAAUGAUGUCGAACGUCAAAAAUAAAAAUGAUACCAUUUGGUACCCCGUUUUAUAGAUGUAUAAUUGAUUCUCUAUUUAGCACAUAUUGCGGAUCUCAGAUGUUAGGAGGGAUAGAAUUAUGUACUUCUCACGAUCGUAUGUCUACUCAUCUGGGAAUUCGAUUUUUUUCUAAUGUUAGGCCAUAUAAUGUCGUUAAUUAAAAACACGCGUUAAAAACGGUAAAGCUACAAAAAAGGCAAUGCGAAAAAGCUAAAACAAAUAAAGAGUGAUAUUUACGGGGCUCAUAUAGCGAUAGUCGCGAUUAAAAAUAAAUACACUGUAAACAAUAGCAGUAAAAUGCAUAAAUACACAGUGGAAGGCACGUCUGACGCCUGAUGUAGUGCUGAACUUAAGCUAAUGCGUCCUGCGCACUUAUAUAUUCGUACAUAUAUACAAAACACACGCGCACACAUACAUUUUGUCCUUGUGAUGGAUUUCAUGGUACGUUAUUAUUUUGUGAGAGUGAAGUUGUAAGGCUCAUUGUUAAAGUCGAAAAUCAUCUGACUAGUCCGUUCACAGCUCAUCAUUUCAAUUUAAAUACAAGCUUAAAGAAGAUUCCAAAACCUAUAAUUUUUCAAGUGAUUGAAAAAUGAGUUGAUUAUAUGAGCCAUAUGCAUUUUUUUUUAAUUAAGCUUGUAAUUUGAAAUUCUAGAGGUAUUUAAAUUAAAAUCCAUCUCAAAGCAUUAACACAGGGUGCUUACACAACCAAACUUAUCCUACCCUUUGGUUCGGCCGCGAGCGGCGCGGUAUUUACCACACUUUUAGGCGGACUUAAAUUUUGAUUGUCUUUUUAAAGACAUAGGCUUAGAAAUGUUCUACCUAAAACCCAUUAAUGUACGUUUAAUACCUAGGUUUUUUUUUAAAUAAUUAAU